AUACCCGAAUGGGGAAACCCAGUGUGAUUCGUCACACUAUCAUUAACUGAAUCCAUAGGUUAAUGAGGCGAACCGGGGGAACUGAAACAUCUAAGUACCCCGAGGAAAAGAAAUCAACCGAGAUUCCCCCAGUAGCGGCGAGCGAACGGGGAGGAGCCCAGAGCCUGAAUCAGCAUGUGUGUUAGUGGAAGCGUCUGGAAAGGCGCGCGAUACAGGGUGACAGCCCCGUACACAAAAGCGCAUGUGCUGUGAGCUCGAUGAGUAGGGCGGGACACGUGGUAUCCUGUCUGAAUAUGGGGGGACCAUCCUCCAAGGCUAAAUACUCCUGACUGACCGAUAGUGAACCAGUACCGUGAGGGAAAGGCGAAAAGAACCCCGGCGAGGGGAGUGAAAAAGAACCUGAAACCGUGUACGUACAAGCAGUGGGAGCACCCUUUGGGGUGUGACUGCGUACCUUUUGUAUAAUGGGUCAGCGACUUAUAUUCUGUAGCAAGGUUAACCGUAUAGGGGAGCCGUAGGGAAACCGAGUCUUAACCGGGCGUUAAGUUGCAGGGUAUAGACCCGAAACCCGGUGAUCUAGCCAUGGGCAGGUUGAAGGUUGGGUAACACUAACUGGAGGACCGAACCGACUAAUGUUGAAAAAUUAGCGGAUGACCUGUGGCUGGGGGUGAAAGGCCAAUCAAACCGGGAGAUAGCUGGUUCUCCCCGAAAGCUAUUUAGGUAGCGCCUCGUGAAUUCAUCUCCGGGGGUAGAGCACUGUUUCGGCUAGGGGGCCAUCCCGGCUUACCAACCCGAUGCAAACUGCGAAUACCGGAGAAUGUUAUCACGGGAGACACACGGCGGGUGCUAACGUCCGUCGUGAAGAGGGAAACAACCCAGACCGCCAGCUAAGGUCCCAAAGUCAUGGUUAAGUGGGAAACGAUGUGGGAAGGCCCAGACAGCCAGGAUGUUGGCUUAGAAGCAGCCAUCAUUUAAAGAAAGCGUAAUAGCUCACUGGUCGAGUCGGCCUGCGCGGAAGAUGUAACGGGGCUAAACCAUGCACCGAAGCUGCGGCAGCGACGCUGAUGCGUUGUUGGGUAGGGGAGCGUUCUGUAAGCCUGUGAAGGUGGCCUGUGAGGGUUGCUGGAGGUAUCAGAAGUGCGAAUGCUGACAUAAGUAACGAUAAAGCGGGUGAAAAGCCCGCUCGCCGGAAGACCAAGGGUUCCUGUCCAACGUUAAUCGGGGCAGGGUGAGUCGACCCCUAAGGCGAGGCCGAAAGGCGUAGUCGAUGGGAAACGGGUUAAUAUUCCCGUACUUGGUGUUACUGCGAAGGGGGGACGGAGAAGGCUAUGUUGGCCGGGCGACGGUUGUCCCGGUUUAAGCGUGUAGGUGUGUGUUCCAGGUAAAUCCGGUUCACUUUAACACUGAGGCGUGACGACGAGGCACUACGGUGCUGAAGCAACAAAUGCCCUGCUUCCAGGAAAAGCCUCUAAGCAUCAGGUAACAUCAAAUCGUACCCCAAACCGACACAGGUGGUCAGGUAGAGAAUACCAAGGCGCUUGAGAGAACUCGGGUGAAGGAACUAGGCAAAAUGGUGCCGUAACUUCGGGAGAAGGCACGCUGACACGUAGGUGAAGUGAUUUACUCAUGGAGCUGAAGUCAGUCGAAGAUACCAGCUGGCUGCAACUGUUUAUUAAAAACACAGCACUGUGCAAACACGAAAGUGGACGUAUACGGUGUGACGCCUGCCCGGUGCCGGAAGGUUAAUUGAUGGGGUCAGCGCAAGCGAAGCUCCUGAUCGAAGCCCCGGUAAACGGCGGCCGUAACUAUAACGGUCCUAAGGUAGCGAAAUUCCUUGUCGGGUAAGUUCCGACCUGCACGAAUGGCGUAAUGAUGGCCAGGCUGUCUCCACCCGAGACUCAGUGAAAUUGAACUCGCUGUGAAGAUGCAGUGUACCCGCGGCAAGACGGAAAGACCCCGUGAACCUUUACUAUAGCUUGACACUGAACAUUGAGCCUUGAUGUGUAGGAUAGGUGGGAGGCUUUGAAGUGUGG
This 2033-nucleotide ribosomal RNA is filed under the name Salmonella enterica subsp. enterica serovar Virchow. Its description in RNAcentral is "partial 23S ribosomal RNA". It matches the Rfam family "Bacterial large subunit ribosomal RNA", at positions 110 to 2167 of the family's 2925-position model. The record is from RNAcentral. Lineage: Bacteria; Pseudomonadati; Pseudomonadota; Gammaproteobacteria; Enterobacterales; Enterobacteriaceae.